This 517-nucleotide ribosomal RNA is filed under the name uncultured bacterium. RNAcentral's name for it is "bacterial SSU rRNA". It matches the Rfam family "Bacterial small subunit ribosomal RNA", at positions 9 to 521 of the family's 1533-position model. The record is from RNAcentral.
GAGUUUGAUCUUGGCUCAGGAUGAACGCUAGCGGCAGGCUUAAUACAUGCAAGUCGUGGGGCAGCAGGUGUAGCAAUACAUGCUGGCGACCGGCAAACGGGUGCGGAACACGUACGCAACCUUCCUUUAACUGGAGAAUAGCCCCUCGAAAGAGGGAUUAAUACUCCGUAACAUAUUGAUAAGGCAUCUUAUUAAUAUUAUAGCUCCGGCGGUUAAAGAUGGGCGUGCGCCUGAUUAGGUAGUUGGCGGGGUAACGGCCCACCAAGCCUUCGAUCAGUAACUGGUGUGAGAGCACGACCAGUCACACGGGCACUGAGACACGGGCCCGACUCCUACGGGAGGCAGCAGUAAGGAAUAUUGGUCAAUGGACGCAAGUCUGAACCAGCCAUGCCGCGUGGAGGAUUAAGGCCCUCUGGGUUGUAAACUCCUUUUAUCUGGGAAGAAAUCCAUAUAUUCUUAUGUGGUUGACGGUACCAGAGGAAUAAGCACCGGCUAACUCCGUGCCAGCCGCCGCCGU